RNAcentral lists this ribosomal RNA (87 nucleotides) under Centranthus ruber (red valerian). RNAcentral describes it as "partial 5.8S ribosomal RNA". It matches the Rfam family "5.8S ribosomal RNA", at positions 73 to 154 of the family's 154-position model. Rfam says of the family: 5.8S ribosomal RNA (5.8S rRNA) is a component of the large subunit of the eukaryotic ribosome. It is transcribed by RNA polymerase I as part of the 45S precursor that also contains 18S and 28S rRNA. The record is from RNAcentral. Lineage: Eukaryota; Viridiplantae; Streptophyta; Magnoliopsida; Dipsacales; Caprifoliaceae.
UGCAGAAUCCCGUGAACCAUCGAGUCUUUGAACGCAAGUUGCGCCCGAAGCCAUUAGGCUGAGGGCACGCCUGCCUGGGCGUCACGC